GCGAGUAUGGCCCUCACGGGUCUAAUCCACCAUAAACACCUUUGUGAACCAGUCAGGGGGACUCGGCCGUGAAAGCCCAGGCGAUUAGCGGAGGGGCCCUCCUUUGCAAACCCGUUUAGAAGUCUUGAAAGUACUUUUGUAUAAUCUAGUA
RNAcentral lists this unclassified non-coding RNA (151 nucleotides) under soil metagenome. Its description in RNAcentral is "partial internal transcribed spacer 1". The record is from RNAcentral.